Molecule: ribosomal RNA, 292 nt
Filed under: uncultured bacterium
Lineage: Bacteria
Description: partial 16S ribosomal RNA
Rfam family: Bacterial small subunit ribosomal RNA
Source: RNAcentral
GUGGAUUAGAUACCCUAGUAGUCCACGCCCUAAACGAUGUCAACUAGUUGUUGGGAGAGUAAAAUCUCUUAGUAACGCAGCUAACGCGUGAAGUUGACCGCCUGGGGAGUACGGUCGCAAGAUUAAAACUCAAAAGAAUUGACGGGGGCCCGCACAAGCGGUGGAUUAUGUGGAUUAAUUCGAUGCAACGCGAAAAACCUUACCUGGCCUUGACAUGCUACUAACGAAGCAGAGAUGCAUUAGGUGCCCGAAAGGGAAAGUAGACACAGGUGCUGCACGGUUGUCGACAGCU